This 492-nucleotide ribosomal RNA is filed under the name uncultured bacterium. Its description in RNAcentral is "partial 16S ribosomal RNA". It matches the Rfam family "Bacterial small subunit ribosomal RNA", at positions 29 to 507 of the family's 1533-position model. The record is from RNAcentral.
AGUGAACGCUGGCGGUAGGCCUAACACAUGCAAGUCGAACGGCAGCACAGUAAGAGCUUGCUCUUACGGGUGGCGAGUGGCGGACGGGUGAGGAAUACAUCGGAAUCUACUUUUUCGUGGGGGAUAACGUAGGGAAACUUACGCUAAUACCGCAUACGACCUACGGGUGAAAGCAGGAGAUCUUCGGACCUUGCGCGAUUGAAUGAGCCGAUGUCGGAUUAGCUAGUUGGCGGGGUAAAGGCACACCAAGGCGACGAUGCGUAGCUGGUCUGAGAGGAUGAUCAGCCACACUGGAACUGAGACACGGUCCAGACUCCUACGGGAGGCAGCAGUAGGGAAUAUUGGACAAUGGGCGCAAGCCUGAUGCAGCAAUACCGCGUGAGUGAAGAAGGCCUUCGGGUCGUAAAGCUCUGUUGUUGGGAAAGAAAAGCAGCAGGUUAAUACCCCGCUGUUCUGACGGUACCCAAAGAAUAAGCACCGGCUAACUUCGUG